Non-coding RNA from Choloepus didactylus (southern two-toed sloth), 449 nucleotides. The record is from the annotation of a RefSeq genome assembly. Lineage: Eukaryota; Metazoa; Chordata; Mammalia; Pilosa; Megalonychidae.
AUGCAGUGCCAGGCUCAUGGACUAGUACAGCAUAUGUGGGGACUUUUUCUUCUUUAUGCUUUCCUGGCAAUGGGAGGCACUGUGGGACAAGACAUUCAGCAACCUACUGAAUUGACAGCUGUGGAUGGAGCCUUGUCCAAAUCAACUGCAAAUACCAGCCCUCUGGGUUCAACGGGCUGUCCUGGUACCAGCAAAGUGAUGGCACACCCAUAUUUCUCUCUUACAGUGCUCUGGAUGACUUGGAGAGGAGGGGUCGUUUUUCUUCAUUCCUUGGUCGCUCUAAUUCAUACAGUUCCCUCCUUCUGAGGGAGCUCCAGAUGAAAGCCUCUGCCUCUUACUUCUGGGCCACGAGAGACACAGUGUUAAUGAGGCCUCUUCAGCUGCAGCAAAAUUCAAAAGGCAAUCAUGGCAGUGAGAAAUUAUAUUUCCUCAGUUCACCCCUGCUGUGA